Molecule: long non-coding RNA, 1314 nt
Filed under: Rattus norvegicus (Norway rat)
Lineage: Eukaryota; Metazoa; Chordata; Mammalia; Rodentia; Muridae
Description: long non-coding RNA NONRATT030014
Source: RNAcentral
AUUUUGGGAGAAAGUAGUUCAUGUGCUUUUCACUGCUGUUUGAGCCACACAUGCAAGGAGACAGUUGAGGAAACAAUCUGAGGCAAAGUAUUUAGGAAGUCAUUGCAGUGAAAAGGGCCUAGAUUGGUGUUGGGGUUGCUAGAAUGCAAAGAAAAAACCAGUGGUUGAUGGAGGACUGGAGGAAUUUCUCUGAGGACUUGUUUUGAGGCAUGGAGUGGGAUCAUGGGAGUGACUUGAUAUUGGGGAGUUACAAAACUGGGAAGCCCAGUAACAAUGUGAGUGAAGUGGAUAUGUGAUAGUGAGAGGCCAGAACUGGAGAGUCGCAUCUUUGUGGGCUCAUGAUGGGAGGAAGAAGCUAGCUCCCUGUCGCCAAAUUAGAAGAAGCCAGUACCCUAGCUUUUAUAAAAUACUAAUUUUAAAAUACGUAGACAGUUAAUACUUUGAAUAAUCACUGUGCCAUAGUAAACACGUCUGUGGAUUAAGUUGGGCCUCCCAGUCAUAAUCUUUUGGAAACAGGCCCUGUGUUAGUAUGGGUAAGUAAUUAUUUUGAUUAUUAUGUAACAUUAAAAAAUGCCAGUGAAGACACGGGGAAUGCCUAAAGCAUAGUACUAAGUGAAUAAAGACACACCAAAUUGAAUAUAGACACUUAUUUAUAGCCUUGUAGCAGGUUAAUUCUGAUGGGUGGGGGUGGAAAUCUAGCUUAUCCAUAGAAUGCUUGCCUUGAAUGCAUAAGGCUCUGAGUUUGAUCUCUAGCAUGAUAGGGAAAAAGAUCAGUAGAUUGAUCAUUGGAUUAGAAAAUAAGAUAGUUGCUUUAAAGUGCUAACAAUAUUAGUCAUUCCUUUGUUGUUAUAAUUGUCUUAUGUCACUCUGUUAUUUCCUUAAAAUGGGAAAAACACUGCCAGGUGAAGCAGUAUAAACUGGUGACCCAGGCUUGGGAGGCUGGUGCAGGAGGCUCGCAAAUCAGUGAGACUGUGGUGUGAAGUCAAAUAAAAUAAGUUACUAAUUAAAUUAGGAACGGAAUCGUUCUGGCCAGUUUCCACUUGAGACUUGAACAUCUUUGACGUCUUAGAGUGUUUAAAGGCCUUGGGCUACAUGGAGCGCGCUGCUGAAAGCUACAGCAAAGUGGUUGACCUGGCUCCACUCCAUUUGGAUGCAAGGAUCUCGCUUUCCAUCCUUCAGCAGCAGCUGGGGCGCCCUGAGAAAGCUCUGGAAGCUCUAGAACCCAUGUAUGACCCAGACACCUUAGCCCAGGACGCGAAUGCUGCACAGCAGGAACUGAAGUUACUGCUCCAUCGUUCUACUCUAUUGUUUUCA